Molecule: transfer RNA, 69 nt
Filed under: Smaug warreni
Lineage: Eukaryota; Metazoa; Chordata; Lepidosauria; Squamata; Cordylidae
Description: Pro-tRNA copy1
Rfam family: tRNA
About the family: Transfer RNA (tRNA) molecules are approximately 80 nucleotides in length.
Source: RNAcentral
CAGAAGAUAGUUUAUUGUUAAAAAUACUGGUUUUGGGGACUAGUGAUGGGGGUUGUGCCUCUCUUUUGA